CUGCCAUGAGGGUAAGUGCGAUCUGGAGGAAAAAACAGACCAGCACAUUGCCACAAAGAGACCUAAUAACAGUUAUGUCGAUAUGGAUUCGAAAUCCUGUUUCGACAUAGUUAAAGUAGAUCCUGCCGGUAAAAUGGUACAUGCUAUAAAAUACCUUGACCCGAAACCCUUCUUCAAGGAGCCUGUGCCAUCCGAUGUAAUUGGAUGCUUUAAGGUAGUACGGACUAAUGUAUCGUACGUAACAUUAUCAGUUACUUAUGUCAAGACUCUGAGGCGUGCUAUGCGCAUAGACUUAGAAGGGCUUGAGGGCUGGCCAGAUAAAGAUUGUAAAGUUUCAGUAUUUAAUGCAUUGUAUCAUGAGACUUGCAGUUAAAGCAUUCAUUCUUAGUAACGUAUGCAUGCAAAGAUGUAUAUAUGUUUCUUAGUAUGUAUUGAACCAUCUGAGAUAGAAUAAGUUAAAGUGAUUAUAUCAAUGCAUGACCAAAGAAUCUGUUAAGUAUUGAUCCAACAUUGGUGAUUAACCUAUGGGUUACAUAUUCCUUAUAGCGUAACUGAUCCUAAGCAUAUAUCUGUGUUUACAUAUAAUUUCUAUUACAUAUCUGUAGUCUAUUAAAGCAACUGCAGGAAAAUAUGUCAUCCAAGCGGUCCCAAAGAAGUGUCCAGGUGAGAAAACAACUCGAGAAACGACAUCGUACUGACCCACAAUGUUUCAGUUCCGGUGGGAAGGCGAGAUUCGCUGUCUUCGACUUUCUCAGAGACCGGCCUUGGAGCUGCAUGACAGUGCUAUCGAAAUGGAUCGUCCCGAUGUCAUCUCUGACAGCCGCUGAGAAAGAGUUAACUAAAGAUUUCAACAAGGAGGAGGCUGAUGCUCCUUACGUAUGCUGGUAUCCGCCGCCAGAGGAUUCUGAUUACACACGAAUCAGGAAACUCGUCAUAGUGGACAGCAACAGAGGAGAACAUUGGGUCCCUCUCCCCGGAC
Molecule: long non-coding RNA, 979 nt
Organism: Eriocheir sinensis (Chinese mitten crab)
Lineage: Eukaryota; Metazoa; Arthropoda; Malacostraca; Decapoda; Varunidae
Exons: 3
Source: RefSeq, a predicted model, not a curated record